AUUGAACGCUGGCGGCAGGCUUAACACAUGCAAGUCGAGCGGGGUGAUGGUGCUUGCACUAUCACUUAGCGGCGGACGGGUGAGUAAUGCUUUGGAAUCUGCCUAUUAGUGGGGGACAACAUCUCGAAAGGGAUGCUAAUACCGCAUACGUCCUACGAGAGAAAGCAGGGGAUCACUUGUGACCUUGCGCUAAUAGAUGAGCCUAAGUCGGAUUAGCUAGUUGGUGGGGUAAAGGCCUACCAAGGCGACGAUCUGGAGCGGGGCUGAGAGGAUGAUCCGCCACACUGGGACUGAGAAACGGCCCAGACUCCUACGGGAGGCAGCAGUGGGGAAUAUUGGACAAUGGGGGGAACCCUGAUCCAGCCAUGCCGCGUGUGUGAAGAAGGCCUUAUGGUUGUAAAGCACUUUAAGCGAGGAGGAGGCUCUUUUGGUUAAUACCCAAGAUGAGUGGACGUUACUCGCAGAAUAAGCACCGGCUAACUCUGUGCCAGCCGCCGCCGUAA
This 503-nucleotide ribosomal RNA is filed under the name uncultured bacterium. RNAcentral's name for it is "partial 16S ribosomal RNA". It matches the Rfam family "Bacterial small subunit ribosomal RNA", at positions 30 to 523 of the family's 1533-position model. The record is from RNAcentral.